AGAGUUUGAUCAUGGCUCAGAACGAACGCUGGCGGCAUGCCUAACACAUGCAAGUCGUACGAGAAAGCGGGGGCAACCUCGUGAGUAAAGUGGCGUACGGGUGAGUAACACGUGGGUAAUCUACCUCUGGGUGUGGAAUAACGCUGGGAAACCGGCGCUAAUACCGCAUAAGCUCGGGAGAGGAAAGCAGCAAUGCGCCGAGAGAGGAGCCCGCGGCCGAUUAGCUAGUUGGUGAGGUAACGGCUCACCAAGGCUUAGAUCGGUAGCCGGCCUGAGAGGGCACACGGCCACACUGGCACUGAAACACGGGCCAGACUCCUACGGGAGGCAGCAGUGGGGAAUCUUGCACAAUGGGGGCAACCCUGAUGCAGCGACGCCGCGUGAGCGAUGAAGCCCUUCGGGGUGUAAAGCUCUUUCGGCAGGGAAGAUUAUGACGGUACCUGCAGAAGCAGCUGCGGCUAACUACGUGCCAGCAGCCGCGGUAAUACGUAGGCAGCGAGCGUUGUUCGGAGUUACUGGGCGUAAAGGGUGUGUAGGCGGCUCUCCAAGUUUGGUGUGAAAUCUCCCGGCUCAACCGGGAGGGUGCGCCGAAAACUGGAAGGCUAGAGUGCGGGAUGGGAGAGUGGAAUUCCUGGUGUAGCGGUGAAAUGCGUAGAUAUCAGGAGGAACACCGGUGGUGUAGACGGCUCUCUGGACCGUAACUGACGCUGAGACACGAAAGCGUGGGUAGCAAACAGGAUUAGAUACCCUAGUAGUCC
Molecule: ribosomal RNA, 758 nt
Filed under: uncultured bacterium
Lineage: Bacteria
Description: bacterial SSU rRNA
Rfam family: Bacterial small subunit ribosomal RNA
Source: RNAcentral